Molecule: transfer RNA, 72 nt
Filed under: Myotis lucifugus (little brown bat)
Lineage: Eukaryota; Metazoa; Chordata; Mammalia; Chiroptera; Vespertilionidae
Rfam family: tRNA
About the family: Transfer RNA (tRNA) molecules are approximately 80 nucleotides in length.
Source: Rfam by way of RNAcentral
GCCGGUGUGGCUCAGUGGAAAGAGUGUCAGCCUGAGGACUGAAGGGUCCCGGUUCGACUCCGGUCAAGGGCA